Molecule: ribosomal RNA, 1395 nt
Filed under: Streptomyces sp. UKMCC_PT1
Lineage: Bacteria; Bacillati; Actinomycetota; Actinomycetes; Kitasatosporales; Streptomycetaceae
Description: 16S ribosomal RNA
Rfam family: Bacterial small subunit ribosomal RNA
Source: RNAcentral
AGUCGAACGAUGAACCACUUCGGUGGGGAUAGUGGCGAACGGGUGAGUAACACGUGGGCAAUCUGCCCUGCACUCUGGGACAAGCCCUGGAAACGGGGUCUAAUACCGGAUACUGAUCCUCGCAGGCAUCUGCGAGGUUCGAAAGCUCCGGCGGUGCAGGAUGAGCCCGCGGCCUAUCAGCUAGUUGGUGAGGUAACGGCUCACCAAGGCGACGACCGUUAACCCCGCCUUAAGAAGGGGGCCACCCGCCCACCUUGGACUGAGGACACACGCCCAGAUCUCUACGGGAGGGCGAGCAUUUGGGAUAUUUGCCCAAUGCGCGGAAAGCCCUGAUGCAGCGGACCCCCGCUGAGGGAUGACGGCCUUCGGGUUUUAAACCUUUUUCCAGCAGGGAAGAAGCGAAAGGGACGGUACCUGCAGAAGAAGCCCCGGCUAACUACGUGCCAGCAGCCGCGGUAAUACGUAGGGCGCAAGCGUUGUCCGGAAUUUUUGGGGGUAAAGAGCUCGUAGGCGGCUUGUCACGUCGGUUGUGAAAGCCCGGGGCUUAACCCCGGGUCUGCAGUCGAUACGGGCAGGCUAGAGUUCGGUAGGGGAGAUCGGAAUUCCUGGUGUAGCGGUGAAAUGCGCAGAUAUCAGGAGGAACACCGGUGGCGAAGGCGGAUCUCUGGGCCGAUACUGACGCUGAGGAGCGAAAGCGUGGGGAGCGAACAGGAUUAGAUACCCUGGUAGUCCACGCCGUAAACGGUGGGCACUAGGUGUGGGCAACAUUCCACGUUGUCCGUGCCGCAGCUAACGCAUUAAGUGCCCCGCCUGGGGAGUACGGCCGCAAGGCUAAAACUCAAAGGAAUUGACGGGGGCCCGCACAAGCGGCGGAGCAUGUGGCUUAAUUCGACGCAACGCGAAGAACCUUACCAAGGCUUGACAUACACCGGAAAACCCUGGAGACAGGGUCCCCCUUGUGGUCGGUGUACAGGUGGUGCAUGGCUGUCGUCAGCUCGUGUCGUGAGAUGUUGGGUUAAGUCCCGCAACGAGCGCAACCCUUGUCCCGUGUUGCCAGCAGGCCCUUGUGGUGCUGGGGACUCACGGGAGACCGCCGGGGUCAACUCGGAGGAAGGUGGGGACGACGUCAAGUCAUCAUGCCCCUUAUGUCUUGGGCUGCACACGUGCUACAAUGGCCGGUACAAUGAGCUGCGAUACCGCGAGGUGGAGCGAAUCUCAAAAAGCCGGUCUCAGUUCGGAUUGGGGUCUGCAACUCGACCCCAUGAAGUCGGAGUCGCUAGUAAUCGCAGAUCAGCAUUGCUGCGGUGAAUACGUUCCCGGGCCUUGUACACACCGCCCGUCACGUCACGAAAGUCGGUAACACCCGAAGCCGGUGGCCCAACCCCUUGUGGGAGG